GCGUGAAUCUGCCGGGACCAUCCGGUAAGGCUAAAUACUCCCGAGAGACCGAUAGUGAACCAGUACUGUGAAGGAAAGGCGAAAAGAACCCCGGUGAGGGGAGUGAAAUAGAACCUGAAACCUUGUACGUACAAGCAGUGGGAGCCCUUUAAGGGUGACUGCGUACCUUUUGUAUAAUGGGUCAGCGACUUAUAUUUUGUAGCGAGGUUAACCGAAUAGGGGAGCCGAAGGGAAACCGAGUCUUAACUGGGCGUCUAGUUGCAAGGUAUAGACCCGAAACCCGGUGAUCUAGCCAUGGGCAGGUUGAAGGUUGGGUAACACUAACUGGAGGACCGAACCGACUAAUGUUGAAAAAUUAGCGGAUGACUUGUGGCUGGGGGUGAAAGGCCAAUCAAACCGGGAGAUAGCUGGUUCUCCCCGAAAUCUAUUUAGGUAGAGCCUUGAGCGGACACCUUCGGGGGUAGAGCACUGUUUCGGCUAGGGGUCCAUCCCGGAUUACCAACCCGAUGCAAACUACGAAUACCGAAGAGUGAUACUCAGGAGACACACGGCGGGUGCUAACGUCCGUCGUGGAGAGGGAAACAACCCAGACCGCCAGCUAAGGUCCCAAAGUCUAUAUUAAGUGGGAAACGAAGUGGGAAGGCUUAGACAGCUAGGAUGUUGGCUUAGAAGCAGCCAUCAUUUAAAGAAAGCGUAAUAGCUCACUAGUCGAGUCGGCCUGCGCGGAAGAUGUAACGGGGCUCAAAUAUAGCACCGAAGCUGCGGCAUCAGACGAAAGUCUGUUGGGUAGGGGAGCGUUCUGUAAGCGGAUGAAGGUGAAUCGAGAGGUUUGCUGGACGUAUCAGAAGUGCGAAUGCUGACAUAAGUAACGAUAAAACGGGUGAAAAACCCGUUCGCCGGAAGACCAAGGGUUCCUGUCCAACGUUAAUCGGGGCAGGGUGAGUCGGCCCCUAAGGCGAGGCUGAAAAGCGUAGUCGAUGGGAAACGGGUUAAUAUUCCCGUACUUGGAUAAACUGCGAUGUGGGGACGGAGCAGGUUAGGUUAUCGCACUGUUGGAUAUGUGCGUUUAAGUUGGUAGGUGAGAAGUUUAGGCAAAUCCGGACUUCUUUAACACUGAGAGAUGAUGACGAGGCUCUACGGAGCUGAAGUAACCGAUACCACACUUCCAGGAAAAGCCACUAAGCUUCAGGUUUAUCUAAACCGUACUGAAAACCGACACAGGUGGUCAGGUAGAGAAUACUCAGGCGCUUGAGAGAACUCGGGUGAAGGAACUAGGCAAAAUAGCACCGUAACUUCGGGAGAAGGUGCGCCGGCGUAGAUUGUAGUCCCUAGCGGGCGAAGGUUGAACCGGUCGAAGAUACCAGCUGGCUGCAACUGUUUAUUAAAAACACAGCACUCUGCAAACACGAAAGUGGACGUAUAGGGUGUGAUGCCUGCCCGGUGCUGGAAGGUUAAUUGAUGGUGUAAUCGAAAGAGAAGCUCCUGAUCGAAGCCCCAGUAAACGGCGGCCGUAACUAUAACGGUCCUAAGGUAGCGAAAUUCCUUGUCGGGUAAGUUCCGACCUGCACGAAUGGCAUAAUGAUGGCCAGGCUGUCUCCACCCGAGACUCAGUGAAAUUGAAAUCGCCGUGAAGAUGCGGUGUACCCGCGGCUAGACGGAAAGACCCCGUGAACCUUUACUAUAGCUUGACACUGAACAUUGAAUUUUGAUGUGUAGGAUAGGUGGGAGACUUUGAAGUAGUCACGCCAGUGAUUAUGGAGUCGUCCUUGAAAUACCACCCUUUAACGUUUGAUGUUCUAACGAAGAUUACGAAACGUGGUCUCGGACAGUGUCUGGUGGGUAGUUUGACUGGGGCGGUCUCCUCCCAAAGAGUAACGGAGGAGCACGAAGGUUUGCUAAUGACGGUCGGACAUCGUCAGGUUAGUGCAAUGGUAUAAGCAAGCUUAACUGCGAGACAGACAAGUCGAGCAGGUACGAAAGUAGGUCAUAGUGAUCCGGUGGUUCUGAAUGGAAGGGCCAUCGCUCAACGGAUAAAAGGUACUCCGGGGAUAACAGGCUGAUACCGCCCAAGAGUUCAUAUCGACGGCGGUGUUUGGCACCUCGAUGUCGGCUCAUCACAUCCUGGGGCUGAAGUAGGUCCCAAGGGUUGGGCUGUUCGCCCAUUAAAGUGGCACGCGAGCUGGGUUCAG
Molecule: ribosomal RNA, 2189 nt
Filed under: human gut metagenome
Description: bacterial LSU rRNA
Rfam family: Bacterial large subunit ribosomal RNA
Source: RNAcentral